UGGGAAUUUGGACAAUGGGCGAAAGCCUGAUCCAGCAAUGCCGCGUGUGUGAAGAAGGCCUUCGGGUUGUAAAGCACUUUUGUCCGGAAAGAAAUCCUUGGCUCUAAUACAGUCGGGGGAUGACGGUACCGGAAGAAUAAGCACCGGCUAACUACGUGCCAGCAGCCGCGGUAAUACGUAGGGUGCAAGCGUUAAUCGGAAUUACUGGGCGUAAAGCGUGCGCAGGCGGUUUGCUAAGACCGAUGUGAAAUCCCCGGGCUCAACCUGGGAACUGCAUUGGUGACUGGCAGGCUAGAGUAUGGCAGAGGGGGGUAGAAUUCCACGUGUAGCAGUGAAAUGCGUAGAGAUGUGGAGGAAUACCGAUGGCGAAGGCAGCCCCCUGGGCAAUACUGACGCUCAUGCACGAAAGCGUGGGGAGCAAACAGGAUUAGAUACCCUGGUAGUCCACGCCCUAAAACGAUGUCAACUAGUUGUGGGGAUUCAUUCCUUAGUAACGUAGCUAACGCGUGAAGUUGACCGCCUGGGGAGUACGGUCGCAAGAUUAAAACUUAAAUGAAUUGACGGGGUCAUAGCUGUUUCCU
This 581-nucleotide ribosomal RNA is filed under the name uncultured bacterium. RNAcentral describes it as "partial 16S ribosomal RNA". It matches the Rfam family "Bacterial small subunit ribosomal RNA", at positions 357 to 1375 of the family's 1533-position model. The record is from RNAcentral.